GGCUACAGGACGAACGGCUGGCGGCGUGCCUAACACAUGCAAGUCGAGCGAUGAAAUCCUUCGGGAUGGAUUAGCGGCGGACGGGUGAGUAACACGUGGGUAACCUGCCUUGUAGAGGGGGAUAGCCUUCCGAAAGGAAGAUUAAUACCGCAUAACAUCUUUUUUAUCGCAUGGUAGAAAGAUCAAAGGAGCAAUCCGCUACAAGAUGGACCCGCGGCGCAUUAGCUAGUUGGUGAGGUAACGGCUCACCAAGGCGACGAUGCGUAGCCGACCUGAGAGGGUGAUCGGCCACAUUGGAACUGAGACACGGUCCAGACUCCUACGGGAGGCAGCAGUGGGGAAUAUUGCGCAAUGGGGGGAAACCCUGACGCAGCAACGCCGCGUGAAUGAAGAAGGCCUUAGGGUUGUAAAGUUCUGUUUACGGGGACGAUAAUGACGGUACCCGUGGAGGAAGCCACGGCUAACUACGUGCCAGCCGCCGC
RNAcentral lists this ribosomal RNA (482 nucleotides) under uncultured bacterium. Its description in RNAcentral is "bacterial SSU rRNA". It matches the Rfam family "Bacterial small subunit ribosomal RNA", at positions 26 to 518 of the family's 1533-position model. The record is from RNAcentral.